RNAcentral lists this ribosomal RNA (462 nucleotides) under uncultured bacterium. RNAcentral's name for it is "partial 16S ribosomal RNA". It matches the Rfam family "Bacterial small subunit ribosomal RNA", at positions 29 to 507 of the family's 1533-position model. The record is from RNAcentral.
AGUGAACGCUGGCGGCGUGCCUAAUACAUGCAAGUCGAACGGAGAUUAAGUAGCUUGCUAUUUACUCUUAGUGGCGCACGGGUGAGUAAUAUAUAGCUAACUUGCCCAUUACUAAGGGACAACAGUUGGAAACGACUGCUAAUACCUUAUACUCCGUAUCUAUAUAAGUAGAUACGGGAAAGUUUUUCGGUAAUGGAUAGGGCUAUAUCGUAUCAGCUAGUUGGUAAGGUAAUGGCUUACCAAGGCUAUGACGCGUAACUGGUCUGAGAGGAUGAUCAGUCACACUGGAACGGAGACACGGUCCAGAAUCCUACGGGAGGCAGCAGUAGGGAAUAUUGCUCAAUGGGGGAAACCCUGAAGCAGCAACGCCGCGUGGAGGAUGACACUUUUCGGAGCGGAAACUCCUUUUCUUGGGAAAGAAUUAUGACGGUACCCAAGGAAUAAGCACCGGCUAACUCCGUG